ACUGAUAUGACAGAAUUUAUGUGAAAGAUUUAAGUUCUUUUAAUGGGCAACCUUUCAGUA
This 60-nucleotide transfer RNA is filed under the name Songthela hangzhouensis. RNAcentral's name for it is "tRNA-Leu". The record is from RNAcentral. Lineage: Eukaryota; Metazoa; Arthropoda; Arachnida; Araneae; Liphistiidae.